This 102-nucleotide ribosomal RNA is filed under the name Cheilolejeunea meyeniana. RNAcentral's name for it is "partial 18S ribosomal RNA". It matches the Rfam family "Eukaryotic small subunit ribosomal RNA", at positions 1730 to 1831 of the family's 1831-position model. Lineage: Eukaryota; Viridiplantae; Streptophyta; Jungermanniopsida; Porellales; Lejeuneaceae. RNAcentral also lists the same sequence under 2 other names. The record is from RNAcentral.
UCGCCGCCGGUGUUGUUGUGAGAAGUUCAUUAAACCUUAUCAUUUAGAGGAAGGAGAAGUCGUAACAAGGUUUCCGUAGGUGAACCUGCGGAAGGAUCAUUG